This 501-nucleotide ribosomal RNA is filed under the name uncultured bacterium. RNAcentral's name for it is "partial 16S ribosomal RNA". It matches the Rfam family "Bacterial small subunit ribosomal RNA", at positions 30 to 523 of the family's 1533-position model. The record is from RNAcentral.
AUUGAACGCUGGCGGCAGGCUUAACACAUGCAAGUCGAGCGGGGGAAGGUAGCUUGCUACCGGACCUAGCGGCGGACGGGUGAGUAAUGCUUAGGAAUCUGCCUAUUAGUGGGGGACAACAUCUCGAAAGGGAUGCUAAUACCGCAUACGUCCUACGGGAGAAAGCAGGGGAUCUUCGGACCUUGCGCUAAUAGAUGAGCCUAAGUAGGAUUAGCUAGUUGGUAGGGUACAGGCCUACCAAGUCGACGAACUGUAGAUGGUCUGAGAGGAUGAUCCGCCACACUGUGACUGAGACACGGCCCAGACUCCUACGGGAGGCAGCAGUGGGGAAUAUUGGACAAUGGGGGGAACCCUGAUCCAGCCAUGCCGCGUGUGUGAAGAAGGCCUUAUGGUUGUAAAGCACCUCAAGCGAGGAGGAGGCUACUUUAGUUAAUACCUAGAGAUAGUGCACGUUACUCGCAGAAUAAGCACCGGCUAACUCUGUGCCAGCCGCCGCGGUAA